AGCCUGAUGCAGCCAUGCCGCGUGAAUGAUGAAGGCCUUAGGGUUGUAAAAUUCUUUCGCUAGGGAUGAUAAUGACAGUACCUAGUAAAGAAGCCCCGGCUAACUUCGUGCCAGCAGCCGCGGUAAUACGAAGGGGGCUAGCGUUGUUCGGAAUUACUGGGCGUAAAGCGCACGUAGGCGGACUUUUAAGUCAGAUGUGAAAUCCCGGGGCUCAACCUCGGAACUGCAUUUGAAACUGGAAGUCUAGAGACCAGGAGAGGUUAGCGGAAUACCGAGUGUAGAGGUGAAAUUCGUAGAUAUUCGGUGGAACACCAGUGGCGAAGGCGGCUAACUGGACUGGUACUGACGCUGAGGUGCGAAAGUGUGGGGAGCAAACAGGAUUAGAUACCCUGGUAGUCCACACCGUAAACGAUGACAGCUAGUUGUUGGCAGGCAUGCCUGUCGGUGACGCAGCUAACGCAUUAAGCUCUCCGCCUG
This 477-nucleotide ribosomal RNA is filed under the name uncultured Hyphomonas sp. Its description in RNAcentral is "bacterial SSU rRNA". It matches the Rfam family "Bacterial small subunit ribosomal RNA", at positions 380 to 875 of the family's 1533-position model. The record is from RNAcentral. Lineage: Bacteria; Pseudomonadati; Pseudomonadota; Alphaproteobacteria; Hyphomonadales; Hyphomonadaceae.